This 109-nucleotide ribosomal RNA is filed under the name Acanthosepion pharaonis. The record is from RNAcentral. Lineage: Eukaryota; Metazoa; Mollusca; Cephalopoda; Sepiida; Sepiidae.
UUACGGCCAUAUCACGUUGAAACAACGGUUUCCGUACGACUACCGAAGUUAAGCAACGUCGAGGCUGGUCAGUACCUCGAUGGGCUACCGCAUCGGAAUACCAGGUACU